UAAACGACUCUCGGCAACGGAUAUCUCGGCUCAYGCAUCGAUGAAGAACGUAGCGAAAUGCGAUACUUGGUGUGAAUUGCAGAAUCCCGUGAACCAUCGAGUUUUUGAACGCAAGUUGCGCCCGAAGCCAYUCGGCCGAGGGCACGUCUGCCUGGGCGUCACGC
RNAcentral lists this ribosomal RNA (164 nucleotides) under Goodenia sp. CarnarvonRange. RNAcentral's name for it is "5.8S ribosomal RNA". The record is from RNAcentral. Lineage: Eukaryota; Viridiplantae; Streptophyta; Magnoliopsida; Asterales; Goodeniaceae.